UGUCCAGUGCAGCCUAGUGGACAUGGCAUCUGCCCGGUAAGCGGAACACUGUGGGUUCGAUUCCCAUCCCUGGACAC
This 77-nucleotide transfer RNA is filed under the name Cordylochernes scorpioides. RNAcentral's name for it is "tRNA-Thr". It matches the Rfam family "tRNA". Rfam says of the family: Transfer RNA (tRNA) molecules are approximately 80 nucleotides in length. The record is from RNAcentral. Lineage: Eukaryota; Metazoa; Arthropoda; Arachnida; Pseudoscorpiones; Chernetidae.